CGAGAUGUGUUUCUGCUUCUU
Molecule: non-coding RNA, 21 nt
Filed under: Arabidopsis thaliana (thale cress)
Lineage: Eukaryota; Viridiplantae; Streptophyta; Magnoliopsida; Brassicales; Brassicaceae
Source: RNAcentral